This 2612-nucleotide ribosomal RNA is filed under the name Salmonella enterica. Its description in RNAcentral is "23S ribosomal RNA". The record is from RNAcentral. Lineage: Bacteria; Pseudomonadati; Pseudomonadota; Gammaproteobacteria; Enterobacterales; Enterobacteriaceae.
GGUUAAGCGACUAAGCGUACACGGUGGAUGCCCUGGCAGUCAGAGGCGAUGAAGGGCGUGCUAAUCUGCGAUAAGCGCCGGUAAGGUGAUAUGAACCGUUAUAACCGGCGAUACCCGAAUGGGGAAACCCAGUGUGAUUCGUCACACUAUCAUUAACUGAAUCCAUAGGUUAAUGAGGCGAACCGGGGGAACUGAAACAUCUAAGUACCCCGAGGAAAAGAAAUCAACCGAGAUUCCCCCAGUAGCGGCGAGCGAACGGGGAGGAGCCCAGAGCCUGAAUCAGCAUGUGUGUUAGUGGAAGCGUCUGGAAAGGCGCGCGAUACAGGGUGACAGCCCCGUACACAAAAGCGCAUGGUGUGACUGCGUACCUUUUGUAUAAUGGGUCAGCGACUUAUAUUCUGUAGCAAGGUUAACCGAAUAGGGGAGCCGGAGGGAAACCGAGUCUUAAYYGGGCGUUAAGUUGCAGGGUAUAGACCCGAAACCCGGUGAUCUAGCCAUGGGCAGGUUGAAGGUUGGGUAACACUAACUGGAGGACCGAACCGACUAAUGUUGAAAAAUUAGCGGAUGACCUGUGGCUGGGGGUGAAAGGCCAAUCAAACCGGGAGAUAGCUGGUUCUCCCCGAAAGCUAUUUAGGUAGCGCYUCGUGAAUUCAUCUCCGGGGGUAGAGCACUGUUUCGGCUAGGGGGCCAUCCCGGCUUACCAACCCGAUGCAAACUGCGAAUACCGGAGAAUGUUAUCACGGGAGACACACGGCGGGUGCUAACGUCCGUCGUGAAGAGGGAAACAACCCAGACCGCCAGCUAAGGUCCCAAAGUCAUGGUUAAGUGGGAAACGAUGUGGGAAGGCCCAGACAGCCAGGAUGUUGGCUUAGAAGCAGCCAUCAUUUAAAGAAAGCGUAAUAGCUCACUGGUCGAGUCGGCCUGCGCGGAAGAUGUAACGGGGCUAAACCAUGCACCGAAGCUGCGGCAGCGACRCUGAUGYGUUGUUGGGUAGGGGAGCGUUCUGUAAGCCUGCGAAGGUGGCCUGUGAGGGUUGCUGGAGGUAUCAGAAGUGCGAAUGCUGACAUAAGUAACGAUAAAGCGGGUGAAAAGCCCGCUCGCCGGAAGACCAAGGGUUCCUGUCCAACGUUAAUCGGGGCAGGGUGAGUCGACCCCUAAGGCGAGGCCGAAAGGCGUAGUCGAUGGGAAACGGGUUAAUAUUCCCGUACUUGGUGUUACUGCGAAGGGGGGACGGAGAAGGCUAUGUUGGCCGGGCGACGGUUGUCCCGGUUUAAGCGUGUAGGYKKGUKUUCCAGGYAAAUCCGGAAAAUCAAGGCUGAGGCGUGAYGACGAGGCACUACGGUGCUGAAGCAACAAAUGCCCUGCUUCCAGGAAAAGCCUCUAAGCAUCAGGUAACAUCAAAUCGUACCCCAAACCGACACAGGUGGUCAGGUAGAGAAUACCAAGGCGCUUGAGAGAACUCGGGUGAAGGAACUAGGCAAAAUGGUGCCGUAACUUCGGGAGAAGGCACGCUGACACGUAGGUGAAGUGAUUUACUCAUGGAGCUGAAGUCAGUCGAAGAUACCAGCUGGCUGCAACUGUUUAUUAAAAACACAGCACUGUGCAAACACGAAAGUGGACGUAUACGGUGUGACGCCUGCCCGGUGCCGGAAGGUUAAUUGAUGGGGUCAGCGCAAGCGAAGCUCCUGAUCGAAGCCCCGGUAAACGGCGGCCGUAACUAUAACGGUCCUAAGGUAGCGAAAUUCCUUGUCGGGUAAGUUCCGACCUGCACGAAUGGCGUAAUGAUGGCCAGGCUGUCUCCACCCGAGACUCAGUGAAAUUGAACUCGCUGUGAAGAUGCAGUGUACCCGCGGCAAGACGGAAAGACCCCGUGAACCUUUACUAUAGCUUGACACUGAACAUUGAGCCUUGAUGUGUAGGAUAGGUGGGAGGCUUUGAAGUGUGGACGCCAGUCUGCAUGGAGCCGACCUUGAAAUACCACCCUUUAAUGUUUGAUGUUCUAACGUGGACCCGUUACCCGGGUUGCGGACAGUGUCUGGUGGGUAGUUUGACUGGGGCGGUCUCCUCCUAAAGAGUAACGGAGGAGCACGAAGGUUGGCUAAUCCUGGUCGGACAUCAGGAGGUUAGUGCAAUGGCAUAAGCCAGCUUGACUGCGAGCGUGACGGCGCGAGCAGGUGCGAAAGCAGGUCAUAGUGAUCCGGUGGUUCUGAAUGGAAGGGCCAUCGCUCAACGGAUAAAAGGUACUCCGGGGAUAACAGGCUGAUACCGCCCAAGAGUUCAUAUCGACGGCGGUGUUUGGCACCUCGAUGUCGGCUCAUCACAUCCUGGGGCUGAAGUAGGUCCCAAGGGUAUGGCUGUUCGCCAUUUAAAGUGGUACGCGAGCUGGGUUUAGAACGUCGUGAGACAGUUCGGUCCCUAUCUGCCGUGGGCGCUGGAGAACUGAGGGGGGCUGCUCCUAGUACGAGAGGACCGGAGUGGACGCAUCACUGGUGUUCCCUGAGACUUAGAGUCUCCUGAAGGAACGUUGAAGACGACGACGUUGAUAGGCCGGGUGUGUAAGCGCAGCGAUGCGUUGAGCUAACCGGUACUAAUGAACCGUGAGGCUUAACCUU